This 253-nucleotide ribosomal RNA is filed under the name uncultured bacterium. Its description in RNAcentral is "partial 16S ribosomal RNA". It matches the Rfam family "Bacterial small subunit ribosomal RNA", at positions 524 to 776 of the family's 1533-position model. The record is from RNAcentral.
UACGGAGGGGACUAGCGUUGUUCGGAAUUACUGGGCGUAAAGCGCACGUAGGCGGAUGUGUCAGUCAGGGGUGAAAUCCCGGGGCUCAACCUCGGAACUGCCUUUGAUACAGCACGUCUCGAGUCCGGAAGAGGUGGGUGGAAUUCCUAGUGUAGAGGUGAAAUUCGUAGAUAUUAGGAAGAACACCGGUGGCGAAGGCGGCCCGCUGGUCCGGUACUGACGCUGAGGUGCGAAAGCGUGGGGAGCAAACAGG